Candidatus Nanosalinarum sp. J07AB56 is the source of this 74-nucleotide transfer RNA. It matches the Rfam family "tRNA". Rfam says of the family: Transfer RNA (tRNA) molecules are approximately 80 nucleotides in length. Their secondary structure includes four short double-helical elements and three loops (D, anti-codon, and T loops). Lineage: Archaea; Methanobacteriati; Methanobacteriota; Candidatus Nanohaloarchaea. The record is from Rfam.
GGCCGAGUAGCUCAGCCUGGGAGAGCGCUGCACUGAAGAUGCAGUUGUCCCCGGUUCAAAUCCGGGCUCGGCCA